This 492-nucleotide ribosomal RNA is filed under the name uncultured bacterium. RNAcentral's name for it is "partial 16S ribosomal RNA". It matches the Rfam family "Bacterial small subunit ribosomal RNA", at positions 29 to 507 of the family's 1533-position model. The record is from RNAcentral.
AGUGAACGCUGGCGGUAGGCCUAACACAUGCGAGUCGAACGGCAGCACAGUAAGAGCUUGCUCUUACGGGUGGCGAGUGGCGGACGGGUGAGGAAUACAUCGGAAUCUACUUUUUCGUGGGGGAUAACGUAGGGAAACUUACGCUAAUACCGCAUACGACCUACGGGUGAAAGCAGGGGAUCUUCGGACCUUGCGCGAUUGAAUGAGCCGAUGUCGGAUUAGCUAGUUGGCGGGGUAAAGACCCACCAAGGCGACGAUCCGUAGCUGGUCUGAGAGGAUGAUCAGCCACACUGGAACUGAGACACGGUCCAGACUCCUACGGGAGGCAGCAGUGGGGAAUAUUGGACAAUGGGCGCAAGCCUGAUCCAGCCAUACCGCGUGGGUGAAGAAGGCCUUCGGGUUGUAAAGCCCUUUUGUUGGGAAAGAAAAGCAGCAGGUUAAUACCCCGCUGUUCUGACGGUACCCAAAGAAUAAGCACCGGCUAACUUCGUG